ACGGGGGCCCGCACAAGCGGUGGAGCAUGUGGUUUAAUUCGAUGCAACGCGAAGAACCUUACCUACUCUUGACAUCCACGGAAUUUGGCAGAGAUGCCUUAGUGCCUUCGGGAACCGUGAGACAGGUGCUGCAUGGCUGUCGUCAGCUCGUGUUGUGAAAUGUUGGGUUAAGUCCCGCAACGAGCGCAACCCUUAUCCUUUGUUGCCAGCGAUUCGGUCGGGAACUCAAAGGAGACUGCCGGUGAUAAACCGGAGGAAGGUGGGGAUGACGUCAAGUCAUCAUGGCCCUUACGAGUAGGGCUACACACGUGCUACAAUGGCGCAUACAAAGAGAAGCGACCUCGCGAGAGCAAGCGGACCUCACAAAGUGCGUCGUAGUCCGGAUCGGAGUCUGCAACUCGACUCCGUGAAGUCGGAAUCGCUAGUAAUCGUGGAUCAGAAUGCCACGGUGAAUACGUUCCCGGGCCUUGUACACUCCUCCCGUCACACC
This 490-nucleotide ribosomal RNA is filed under the name Pantoea sp. RNAcentral's name for it is "bacterial SSU rRNA". It matches the Rfam family "Bacterial small subunit ribosomal RNA", at positions 913 to 1403 of the family's 1533-position model. Lineage: Bacteria; Pseudomonadati; Pseudomonadota; Gammaproteobacteria; Enterobacterales; Erwiniaceae. The record is from RNAcentral.